AUAGGGGGCAAGCGUUAUCCGGAUUUACUGGGUGUAAAGGGAGCGCAGACGGCAGUGCAAGUCUGGAGUGAAAGCCCGGGGCCCAACCCCGGGACUGCUCUGGAAACUGUACGGCUAGAGUACGGGAGGGGCAGGCGGAAUUCCUAGUGUAGCGGUGAAAUGCGUAGAUAUUAGGAGGAACACCGGCGGCGAAGGCGGCCUGCUGGACCGAAACUGACGUUGAGGCUCGAAAGCGUGGGGAGCAAA
Molecule: ribosomal RNA, 246 nt
Filed under: uncultured bacterium
Lineage: Bacteria
Description: partial 16S ribosomal RNA
Rfam family: Bacterial small subunit ribosomal RNA
Source: RNAcentral